UACGUAGGGUCCGAGCGUUGUCCGGAAUUAUUGGGCGUAAAGAGCUCGUAGGCGGUUUGUCGCGUCUGCUGUGAAAUCCCGAGGCUCAACCUCGGGUCUGCAGUGGGUACGGGCAGACUGGAGUGCGGUAGGGGAGAAUGGAAUUCCUGGUGUAGCGGUGGAAUGCGCAGAUAUCAGGAGGAACACCGAUGGCGAAGGCAGUUCUCUGGGCCGUAACUGACGCUGAGGUGCGAAAGCGUGGGGAGCAAACAGG
RNAcentral lists this ribosomal RNA (253 nucleotides) under uncultured bacterium. RNAcentral's name for it is "partial 16S ribosomal RNA". It matches the Rfam family "Bacterial small subunit ribosomal RNA", at positions 524 to 776 of the family's 1533-position model. The record is from RNAcentral.